CCUACGGGUGGCAGCAGUGAGGAAUAUUGGUCAAUGGCCGUAAGGCUGAACCAGCCAAGUAGCGUGAGGGAAGACUGCCCUAUGGGUUGUAAACCUCUUUUAUGCGGGGAUAAAGGUGUCCACGUGUGGAUGUUUGCAGGUACCGCAUGAAUAAGGAACGGCUAAUUCCGUGCCAGCCGCCGCGGUAAUGCGGAAGGUCCGGGCGUUAUCCGGAUUUGUUGGGUUUAAAGGGAGCGUAGGCCGGGUUUUAAGCGUGCCGUGAACUUUUGUGGCUCAAACAUGAGAGUGCGGCGCGAACGGGAGACCCUGAGUGUGCGGAAGGCAGGCGGAAUUCGUGGUGUAGCGGUGAAAUGCUUAGAUAUCACGAAGAACCCCGAUUGCGAAGGCAGCCUGCCGCAGCGUUACUGACGCUGAAGCUCGAAAGCGCGGGUAUCGAACAGGAUUAGAUACCCGAGUAGUC
Molecule: ribosomal RNA, 460 nt
Filed under: uncultured bacterium
Lineage: Bacteria
Description: partial 16S ribosomal RNA
Rfam family: Bacterial small subunit ribosomal RNA
Source: RNAcentral